Lemur catta (Ring-tailed lemur) is the source of this 177-nucleotide long non-coding RNA. RefSeq lists it as uncharacterized. NCBI's taxonomy places the organism in Eukaryota, Metazoa, Chordata, Mammalia, Primates, Lemuridae. The record is from RefSeq and is a predicted model, not a curated record. The transcript has 4 exons.
GCACAUCCCACCUUUGCUACUGGCUGAAACUCUGAUGGGGAACUGAGCAUCUGUUCGCAAGUGAUUUGCCCAAGAGGCCCUUGAAGAGUCCCAAGCAGCCUCUCAGACACAUUUUCUGAGCACUUACCACGAGCCGGGCACCACACACACAGAGGAGUUUUCCAGGGGCUCCGCGAC